This 1346-nucleotide ribosomal RNA is filed under the name uncultured bacterium. Its description in RNAcentral is "partial 16S ribosomal RNA". It matches the Rfam family "Bacterial small subunit ribosomal RNA", at positions 28 to 1381 of the family's 1533-position model. The record is from RNAcentral.
GACGAACUCUGGCGGCGUGCUUAACACAUGCAAGUCGAACAGAAAGGCCCUGCUUUUGUGGGGUGCUCGAGUGGCGAACGGGUGAGUAACACGUGAGUAACCUGCCCUUGACUUUGGGAUAACUUCAGGAAACUGGGGCUAAUACCGGAUAGGAGCUCCUGCUGCAUGGUGGGGGUUGGAGAGUUUCGGCGGUUGGGGAUGGACUCGCGGCUUAUCAGCUUGUUGGUGGGGUAGUGGCUUACCAAGGCUUUGACGGGUAGCCGGCCUGAGAGGGUGACCGGCCACAUUGGGACUGAGAUACGGCCCAGACUCCUACGGGAGGCAGCAGUGGGGAAUAUUGCACAAUGGGCGGAAGCCUGAUGCAGCAACGCCGCGUGCGGGAUGACGGCCUUCGGGUUGUAAACCGCUUUCGCCUGUGACGAAGCGUGAGUGACGGUAAUGGGUAAAGAAGCACCGGCUAACUACGUGCCAGCAGCCGCGGUGAUACGUAGGGUGCGAGCGUUGUCCGGAUUUAUUGGGCGUAAAGGGCUCGUAGGUGGUUGAUCGCGUCGGAAGUGUAAUCUUGGGGCUUAACCCUGAGCGUGCUUUCGAUACGGGUUGACUUGAGGAAGGUAGGGGAGAAUGGAAUUCCUGGUGGAGCGGUGGAAUGCGCAGAUAUCAGGAGGAACACCAGUGGCGAAGGCGGUUCUCUGGGCCUUUCCUGACGCUGAGGAGCGAAAGCGUGGGGAGCGAACAGGCUUAGAUACCCUGGUAGUCCACGCUGUAAACGGUGGGUACUAGGUGUGGGGUCCAUUCCACGGGUUCCGUGCCGUAGCUAACGCUUUAAGUACCCCGCCUGGGGAGUACGGCCGCAAGGCUAAAACUCAAAGGAAUUGACGGGGCCCCGCACAAGCGGCGGAGCAUGCGGAUUAAUUCGAUGCAACGCGUAGAACCUUACCUGGGUUUGACAUGGAUCGGGAGUGCUCAGAGAUGGGUGUGCCUCUUUUGGGGUCGGUUCACAGGUGGUGCAUGGCUGUCGUCAGCUCGUGUCGUGAGAUGUUGGGUUAAGUCCCGCAACGAGCGCAACCCUUGUUCACUGUUGCCAGCACGUUAUGGUGGGGACUCAGUGGAGACCGCCGGGGUCAACUCGGAGGAAGGUGGGGAUGACGUCAAGUCAUCAUGCCCCUUAUGUCCAGGGCUUCACGCAUGCUACAAUGGCUGGUACAGAGAGUGGCGAGCCUGUGAGGGUGAGCGAAUCUCGGAAAGUCGGUCUCAGUUCGGAUUGGGGUCUGCAACUCGACCUCAUGAAGUCGGAGUCGCUAGUAAUCGCAGAUCAGCAACGCUGCGGUGAAUACGUUCCCGGGGCU